Impatiens glandulifera is the source of this 507-nucleotide long non-coding RNA. RefSeq lists it as uncharacterized. The record is from RefSeq and is a predicted model, not a curated record. The transcript has 4 exons. NCBI's taxonomy places the organism in Eukaryota, Viridiplantae, Streptophyta, Magnoliopsida, Ericales, Balsaminaceae.
AAGGUUCUAAUCGAUCGCAGUCGCAUCAACGAUUAUUCAUUGUUUACGUCUGUGUCGUAAACCUGAUCGACAAUAACCUUUGGUGCUGUUAGAGCAGGGAAAGGGCGAUUCUCGAGCUGAAAGGUAUCCAUCACCAUUCUUGUCGCUGAAUUUUUUUACACCAUUCUCUCACUUCAUCAAUGCCACAAAGUGUAUCGCCUCAUGAUAGAGAUGGGUUAAUUUUGGAUGAUAUUUAAGAAGACAAUGAAUAAUUUCCAUUGUUCAAUGGAUUAAUAGGUGGAUAAAGUAGAUCCAGUUUGUGUGCUUUAAGAAGAAUUCAUUUGAAGUGUGGAGUGGAUGAAUUUUCUCCUGGCUUGAAAUUGGUCAUUUUGUUAAGACUAAAGUAAUUUCGUUUUUGUUUUUGUAGUAAAGAAAUAGUUGUGACAUAAUUACUGUUCAAUGAUAAGUUAGGAAAUUGUUUAUUAAAACCUUGAAACUAAAUAUUUUAUAAUAUUCUAUGUUUGUUUA